Long non-coding RNA from Gorilla gorilla gorilla (western lowland gorilla), 1115 nucleotides. RefSeq lists it as uncharacterized. NCBI's taxonomy places the organism in Eukaryota, Metazoa, Chordata, Mammalia, Primates, Hominidae. The record is from RefSeq and is a predicted model, not a curated record. The transcript is spliced from 6 exons.
AAACAUCGUUGUAAUGUUGAAGUUUUCUUAUCCUUUUCAAGGUGCUUCAAUUCCCUGAGGAAAGAGGCAAGCAGAUGGAAUAUUUCAGGCUGCAGACAUAGAAGAACGAGAUAGAAAUAUGCUCUCUGUCCUUGAUGUGAAGAUUCUGUCACUUUUAAUUCUCCAGCUUAUUUACUUUUCUACUACAUAAGAACUGGGGCUUGUUUUAGCAGCAUUGAUUAAGUUGUCAUUGAUUUUCAAGAUAGGAAAUAGAACUUUCAAAUUUCCCACAUGAAUUUUAAAUAAGUCAGAUAUUAACAACAAGAUAAAACAUUUACCAUGGCAAUGACAGAAUAGUCAAGUAUCAUUCAAAACCUUUCAAGGCUCACAAAGAGCAUAUGGAUUCUAGAUGUCAAUACACACAUGACUAGAACUUACCUGGAGACACACAGCCAGCAAGAUGAGCAUCUGGAGCAGAGAGGCUCUGCUCCUAGCGGGGAGACAAAAGAAAAGAAGAAAAAGAUGACAACACAACGGGCUGAAAUGACCAUAAUACCGGAAUUUUACUUUAACAGAAGAUAGCGGUGAGGGCUUGAAUACUAAGGAAUUAAUGAGAGAUCAGCCCCUUUAGCGACUCAAAGCAUAUUAUAACUCCAGCUGGUCAAAAAGAGAGGAAAUGAAUAAUAUAACAGGAACAACUGCAAGAGCAAGUGCAGCAUCAGGUUGGUGCAUUUCUUUUGAUCAAAAGGUCGAAUUGCAACUGGUCUUUGAAGAGUGUGCUGGUGACAGUGUGCAACCUCUGCAGUAGCUCCUGGACUGGCCCUAGACUGCUGUCAAAUUAAACCAGCACUGUAAAGAAGAGAGCAAGUUGAAUGAAGUUGAAUGAAGGGGCAUCUUAAUUCCAAUCCUGGCUCUAAUGCUGACUGUAAGCAUGACCCCGGAUGAGUUAUUCACUCUCUCAGUCUCAGUCUCCUCAUCCACAAAGCAGGGAUCACAAUAAAUGAAUAGCACCUUUCACAGAACCCAGCAUAUAUACUGAGUGUUCAACAAAUACUGUGUUCAUCAUCUAACAUCAUAACACAUUGAGCAUCCAUCAAAGCAGAAGUAGUUCGCACCUGGAUAUUUCUGUUUCUUUU